UACGUAGGGGGCGAGCGUUGUCCGGAAUUAUUGGGCGUAAAGAGCUCGUAGGCGGCUUAGUAAGUCGGCGGUGAAAUACCGAGGCUCAACCUCGGCACUGCCGUCGAUACUGCUAUGGCUAGAGUUUGGUAGAGGAGAACGGAAUUCCCGGUGUAGCGGUGGAAUGCGCAGAUAUCAGGAGGAACACCAAUUGCGAAGGCAGCUCGCUGGGACGUUACUGACGCUGAGACGCGAAGGCGUGGGGAGCAAACGGG
Molecule: ribosomal RNA, 254 nt
Filed under: uncultured bacterium
Lineage: Bacteria
Description: partial 16S ribosomal RNA
Rfam family: Bacterial small subunit ribosomal RNA
Source: RNAcentral